Molecule: long non-coding RNA, 311 nt
Organism: Coregonus clupeaformis (lake whitefish)
Lineage: Eukaryota; Metazoa; Chordata; Actinopteri; Salmoniformes; Salmonidae
Exons: 3
Source: RefSeq, a predicted model, not a curated record
AUUGUGUGUCGUAUUCUGGGACUUUACAUGGAACAGUGACAUUAAAGGAUAUCAGUCUGGCCAACAACAGAACAGUCUUAACAGUGACUAUGAGUGGACUGAAGAUGGAGAACACUGACUGGUAUUGGUGUGAAGUGGGAGAACUAGAAAUGCCUGUUCACAUCAAUGUCAGUCAACAUACUGCAACACAAAUCAUCACUGCUAUCACAAACCAAGCUGAGGGGAACAUGGAGGAAGUCCACCAGAGGUCCAUAGAUGUGAAAGUCCUACUGAUUCCUUGGGGCAUGUUGGUGGUGGUGACAGCUGGUAUC